Molecule: RNase P RNA, 509 nt
Filed under: Spirosoma oryzae
Lineage: Bacteria; Pseudomonadati; Bacteroidota; Cytophagia; Cytophagales; Cytophagaceae
Description: Bacterial RNase P class A
Rfam family: Bacterial RNase P class A
About the family: Ribonuclease P (RNase P) is a ubiquitous endoribonuclease, found in archaea, bacteria and eukarya as well as chloroplasts and mitochondria.
Source: RNAcentral
AAUACGAGUUGUCUUAUCGCGCCAGCCUUCGGGCCGGUGAGGAAAGUCCGGGCAGCGCAGAGCGCCAUACUUCCUAACGGGAAGGCAGCCGACUGGCGACGGUCGGCUGACAGACAGGGCAACAGAAAAUAUACCGCCGAUUUUUAAUGGCGAAUGAAUGAAUGAGUGAAUGAGUGAAUAGCUCCGCGAGAACGUUACUGGACGCGCCAGCUAUUCACUCAUUCGCUCAUUCGCUCAUUCACUCAUUGAUUCUGGUAAGGGCGAACCGGUGGGGUAAGAGCCCACCGCCCGGCGGGUGACCGACGGGGCACGGUAACCCUUAUGGGCUGAAAGACCAAAUAAGCGUCGGACGCGCGGCUGCUCGUCGCCAGCAGCCUGGUUUCGGCCGGGUGAAAACCGACGCGGGUAGGUCGAACGAGGUGUCCGGGUGACUGGCAUCCCAGAUAAAUGAUAAGACGGCUGGCUUUACGGCUGGUCGACAGAACCCGGCUUAUAGACUCGUACUGCAU